UCCGAUCGCUUCAACUGGCAACAUCGGCGGAGUGGCAACCCAACCUUGGUGCCCAAAAAAUCUUUCCCGAAAAAGCAAAGUUCAAGUGGAAGUCACCGACAUCGGCGGGCACCGAACCAUUGCGUCUAGAUCCCCAUAGUGACAUACCGGGGCCGGCAUUCAGCAGUCACCGCGCAGCUUACUCGAGUACAGUUUUUGGGGGAAAAUUUAUCGAGAGAAAGGAAAAUCUCCGCCGCGACUUCGAGCAGCCGUGUUUUUGUAGGUCAACAGCCACAGCUUUUCCCGGCAAUUAAUCAUCAGCCUCGAGUGGAGCGGAGCGCCGUAGUCAAAUCGUUGUUGGCUUUCGCGGUUGUUUUCUUGCGGGGAAAAAGUUUCACGAGCCACCCUUUGCCACGGAAAAUCAGACUUCGAGCCUGAAAAUGAUUGCCACCGCCAGUAUGCUGUUUAAGAUGCUGCUAUUGACCUCGUUUCUGUCGCAACUGGCGUACUGUCAGCCGCCUGGUUCGGCACGCAACCGACGAGCAGCUGCUACCACCACGGACCCAUUGUUGACGGACGGUAUCGAGCCGAAAGCUGCGGCGACCAGCAUCAGCAGCAGCAGCAGCAGCAGCACUAACCAAGAGGCGGACGGUAGUUCACCGAGAACUCAGCGCAGCUACUACGCCGGCAGUACCUAUGGUGGAAGCUCCAGUGAACGAUUGUUUGACUUUGGGCUGCUUGGCAAACCCUACUAUGCGGGCAAUCGCGGUGGUUACUAUCCAUCGGGAAGCUACUAUCCAUCGGGCAGCUACUACCCGCAGGGUGGUUACCUACCACAGGGCGGCUACUAUCCGCAGGUCGGCGGCUAUCCGAGCGGCGGUUACUUCCCGGGUACGAACACGCUCGGUGUUGGUGGAAUCGGCGGCGGCGUCGGCGGCGUCUACGGUGGAUACGGUGGCUACGGAGGAUUCGGAGGUAACGGGGGACUACAGUCGUACUAUGGCUACAACAACGAUGGGUACUAUGGCAACCGCAAUCUAGGCUACGGUUACUACAGUGGGACCACACCGUCCGGUUACAUUGGCUCGUCCCUAGUCAGCGGUUUCCGUGGCUACAACUGAACGCCAUCCUGCCUCCCAGCAUUCCUUUACCUAUUUCCCGUGCUUCCUAUUUGUAUGUGUGUCUGUGCGUCUGUGUGAUGUUGUGGCUUAAAAUGUAAGCGUGUCCGAUACAUGUCUGUCUGUGUUCAAGUGUUACGCUGCGUUAACGAAGGAAUUGCAGAACAAGCUGGUAGAAUCUCGGGUAAUCAGAAUGUGCGUCCUGGUGUAUUAGGACCGUUCUAGUUGCCUGCCGAGAAGUUGAAGCCGCAUUGCCAAUAAGCUCGAGGGGAAAUCAAUUGUAAUUUCAUUCUGCAGUAUCAUGAAAGCAUUUCAACAGUUGUUAAUGAAUUUAAAACAUUAGUACGAUGGAGUUGAUUACGAACCAUUUUAUCGCGGACAUUUGUGAUCCUUUUUAUCAACUUGUUGAACCACUUUGUUCUGCGGGCUGUUUUGCUCCCAUAACUUUCUCAGAAAAUUCCAUUUAAUUUGUAAACCUCUUUAGAAGUGUUCCUCGGCGCUCUGAAUGAGUAGAGCACAUUCUUAGCUAAUCAGAACAAUGUUGAAAUAUAAUCUAAUCAAAUUAGAUGCCAA
Anopheles darlingi is the source of this 1670-nucleotide RNA transcript. It is a transcript of the gene named prisilkin-39-like, with no coding region annotated. The record is from RefSeq and is a predicted model, not a curated record. NCBI's taxonomy places the organism in Eukaryota, Metazoa, Arthropoda, Insecta, Diptera, Culicidae. The transcript is spliced from 6 exons.